Molecule: ribosomal RNA, 490 nt
Filed under: uncultured bacterium
Lineage: Bacteria
Description: SSU rRNA
Rfam family: Bacterial small subunit ribosomal RNA
Source: RNAcentral
AGGAUAAACGCUGGCGGCGUGCCUAACACAUGCAAGUCGAACGCGCUUACUAUCCGCGAGGACGGUGAGCGAGUGGCGGACGGGUGAGGAACACGUGGGUGACCUACCUUUCAGUGAGGGAUACCGGCGAGAAAUUGCCGACAAGACCGCAUACGCUUCUCUUUUCAAGGGGGAGAAGGAAAGCUUUUCGCAAGAGAGGCGCUGGGAGAUGGGCCUGCGGCCGAUUAGCUAGCUGGUGGGGUAAUGGCCUACCAGGGCGACGAUCGGUAGCUGGUCUGAGAGGACGAUCAGCCACACUGGGAUUGAGAACGGCCCAGACUCCUACGGGGGGCAGCAGUGAGGAAUUUUUCGGCAAUGGGGGCAACCCGUGACCGAGCAACGCCGCGUGCAGGACGACGGCCUUCGGGUUGUAAACCCCUUUCACCAGGAACGAAUUCAGACGGUACCUGGGAAGAAGCGCCGGCUAACUACGUGCCAGCAGCCGCGGUAA